This 1356-nucleotide ribosomal RNA is filed under the name Escherichia coli. RNAcentral describes it as "partial 23S ribosomal RNA". It matches the Rfam family "Bacterial large subunit ribosomal RNA", at positions 419 to 1776 of the family's 2925-position model. The record is from RNAcentral. Lineage: Bacteria; Pseudomonadati; Pseudomonadota; Gammaproteobacteria; Enterobacterales; Enterobacteriaceae.
GGGACACGUGGUAUCCUGUCUGAAUAUGGGGGGACCAUCCUCCAAGGCUAAAUACUCCUGACUGACCGAUAGUGAACCAGUACCGUGAGGGAAAGGCGAAAAGAACCCCGGCGAGGGGAGUGAAAAAGAACCUGAAACCGUGUACGUACAAGCAGUGGGAGCACGCUUAGGCGUGUGACUGCGUACCUUUUGUAUAAUGGGUCAGCGACUUAUAUUCUGUAGCAAGGUUAACCGAAUAGGGGAGCCGAAGGGAAACCGAGUCUUAACUGGGCGUUAAGUUGCAGGGUAUAGACCCGAAACCCGGUGAUCUAGCCAUGGGCAGGUUGAAGGUUGGGUAACACUAACUGGAGGACCGAACCGACUAAUGUUGAAAAAUUAGCGGAUGACUUGUGGCUGGGGGUGAAAGGCCAAUCAAACCGGGAGAUAGCUGGUUCUCCCCGAAAGCUAUUUAGGUAGCGCCUCGUGAAUUCAUCUCCGGGGGUAGAGCACUGUUUCGGCAAGGGGGUCAUCCCGACUUACCAACCCGAUGCAAACUACGAAUACCGGAGAAUGUUAUCACGGGAGACACACGGCGGGUGCUAACGUCCGUCGUGAAGAGGGAAACAACCCAGACCGCCAGCUAAGGUCCCAAAGUCAUGGUUAAGUGGGAAACGAUGUGGGAAGGCCCAGACAGCCAGGAUGUUGGCUUAGAAGCAGCCAUCAUUUAAAGAAAGCGUAAUAGCUCACUGGUCGAGUCGGCCUGCGCGGAAGAUGUAACGGGGCUAAACCAUGCACCGAAGCUGCGGCAGCGACGCUGAUGCGUUGUUGGGUAGGGGAGCGUUCUGUAAGCCUGCGAAGGUGUGCUGUGAGGCAUGCUGGAGGUAUCAGAAGUGCGAAUGCUGACAUAAGUAACGAUAAAGCGGGUGAAAAGCCCGCUCGCCGGAAGACCAAGGGUUCCUGUCCAACGUUAAUCGGGGCAGGGUGAGUCGACCCCUAAGGCGAGGCCGAAAGGCGUAGUCGAUGGGAAACAGGUUAAUAUUCCUGUACUUGGUGUUACUGCGAAGGGGGGACGGAGAAGGCUAUGUUGGCCGGGCGACGGUUGUCCCGGUUUAAGCGUGUAGGCUGGUUUUCCAGGCAAAUCCGGAAAAUCAAGGCUGAGGCGUGAUGACGAGGCACUACGGUGCUGAAGCAACAAAUGCCCUGCUUCCAGGAAAAGCCUCUAAGCAUCAGGUAACAUCAAAUCGUACCCCAAACCGACACAGGUGGUCAGGUAGAGAAUACCAAGGCGCUUGAGAGAACUCGGGUGAAGGAACUAGGCAAAAUGGUGCCGUAACUUCGGGAGAAGGCACGCUGAUAUGUAGGUGAAGUCCCUCGCGG